Anneissia japonica is the source of this 144-nucleotide long non-coding RNA. RefSeq lists it as uncharacterized. The transcript has 3 exons. Lineage: Eukaryota; Metazoa; Echinodermata; Crinoidea; Comatulida; Comatulidae. The record is from RefSeq and is a predicted model, not a curated record.
GGGCGACUACCUGUUCGAUGGAUGGCGAUAGAAUCUAUAAAUUACAGCGUAUAUACAACGAAGAGUGAUGUGUGGUCGUUUGGGAUUUUAUUGUGGGAGAUUGUUACACUGGGCGGUACUCCAUAUCCAGGCAUGACGUGUGCU